UACGAAGGGGGCUAGCGUUGUUCGGAAUUACUGGGCGUAAAGCGCGCGCAGGCGGUCCUUUAAGUCGGGGGUGAAAGCCCAGAGCUCAACUCUGGAACUGCCUUCGAAACUAGAGGACUUGGGUACGGGAGAGGUGAGUGGAAUUCCGAGUGUAGAGGUGAAAUUCGUAGAUAUUCGCAAGAACACCAGUGGCGAAGGCGGCUCACUGGCCCGAUACUGACGCUGAUGCACGAAAGCGUGGGGAGCAAACAGG
RNAcentral lists this ribosomal RNA (253 nucleotides) under uncultured bacterium. Its description in RNAcentral is "partial 16S ribosomal RNA". It matches the Rfam family "Bacterial small subunit ribosomal RNA", at positions 524 to 776 of the family's 1533-position model. The record is from RNAcentral.